Long non-coding RNA from Fukomys damarensis (Damara mole-rat), 1969 nucleotides. RefSeq lists it as uncharacterized. The transcript has 3 exons. Lineage: Eukaryota; Metazoa; Chordata; Mammalia; Rodentia; Bathyergidae. The record is from RefSeq and is a predicted model, not a curated record.
GACACAGGCAGGUAUGAGUCUAGGGACAGCCUGGAGGACAAAUUCUUCACCACCUAGCUCACUACCAGUGUUUUAAUACAGAUGCCCAUGGUUCUCAAGCUGUGUGCCAAGGCACACCAGCACACCAUAGUGAGGUCAGUGGACAUCGAAGCAUAUUUAAAAUUUUAAAGAGAAAUUUGUACAAUAUUUGACAUCUCUCUGACAUCACACAAAUUGCUUGCCCAGGGUAGUUUACAGUUGAACAUGAGAUUAUACUACUUUCUUUCCAGUGACAUUGUAUUUGUAUGAAGUCUUGUUUUGGGCAGGUGCUAUGAGAAAAAGUAAACACUGCAAUCAAUGAGGAAAAAAUAAUAUGGGUGACAUUGUUCUAGGACUGAGAACGCAUAUGUUCUCAGGAGAAAUAUACAUCAUACUACUAAGUCAUUGCAUUUAAGAAUGGAAUAAUUUCAAUUUAUGUUUAUUAGCAGGGGAGCGCAGCUACCCUUGACUGAGGAAACGGUCUGCCUCUAUCGGGGGUGGUCAUCCUCUUCAACAGAGUGCACACCUUUGGGAGGGGGACACGUGGAGCCGUGAGAGAGGACAGGGACACCCGCCUAGCCAGCCAGAUCAGCCGUAUCAACUCUGGCGAUCACGGGGGGGGGGCAGAUGUCAUAGCCAGAUCGCCCUCCAUCCAACGUUUAUUAUUCCUUAAAACAACUAGUAAGUUAUCAGAACAUAUAUACUUCUUGCUUGGGCUUAAUUACUUAAAUAAUAAGUUAGGCUUUUCUUUUGGCCAAGCAAUGCCAUGCAAUGAGACUGACAUACUUGAGCUGUAAAAUUUGGCACCUCUUGCAGACAUCCAUUGGCUGCUUCCAGACACACCAGGCCUCUCCCUACAGUUUCUGCACCCUGUGGCCACUUGUACCUCUCCAAUUUUUCCAUCUGCAAAAUCCCCCUGGUAUUCACCAUUCACAGGCAGUCAGAACAUUAAGAGGCAUUCACACAUGUCCUCUGAUUAGGAUGGAGGAACUUACAUAGGGGAGAAAGACAGACAGAAACACAGAAUGACAGGGAAUGUGUAUCUGGCCAAGUGGUGCCAACCCCUCUGGAAAUAGACUGGGAACCAAAUGAAGACAAAAUUCAGGUGGCCAUAGCUCUGCACACUUCUACUUAUGGGAACACAUGGUGUACAUGGUUGACUCCAACUUGCUGAGUUGUGGGCUACUCAGGGGAGUUCUGUGCCCCUUGCACACAUCCCUGCCCCAUCCCAGAAUGGUGUGGGAGAUUGCCAUUUGAGCUCUCAUCUAGCUUCACCACCAUGCUGAUGCCUUCGAGCACUCACUGUACAGGACUCUGUGCUAAGUGCUUUCUUUGAAUUAUCUCAUAGGAUUCUCACAAGCUCAUUUGACUCAUUGCAACAUUUCCUAGAGGGAGGAGAAGCUAAGCAGCCAAUGCUCUUUCUCACUGCUGGAGAGCAGCUGCUGUUGUUGAGACAUUUCUGCCCGACAUGGGGAUUAAAACUGAGUGAAGAGCAAGCACCCUUCUGGGUAUAUCUCGGACACAAAGAACUUGAGAAGAAUCCUUUUGCAACCCAAAAACUGGAAAGUGCAGCCAGGAGGACACCAAGAACCUGGAGAUAUUUUUUAGGAGGAGGAGUUGGUUCAAAAUAACAAAGAUGAUAAGAAAUACCAGCACAACAAUGAAAAACAGACCUCUCACAAGAUACCAAGACAUUAUUAUCUAUCUCCUCACAGGUUUACGUGCUUGAGCAGGCUCUUGAGGUCUCCCAGUGACUCAGAGGCCCUUGAAUGUUCUUUGAGACCCAUAUGGCUUGGCAUUUCAGUGUCCCACUUGGUCCAGGUGUAAAUGCUUCCAUCUGCUCAGAACAGUUGUCAACCACCACCAACAGAUAUUUCAAAUCAGCUGUCUGCAGCCUUUAGGUAAAGUCCAUUUACCAAUUUUCAUUAUUUUUUUCUAGACUGGAGUGGGC